UGUAAUACUUGAUUUAGUGCUUUUAAAUGCAUGAAUUUGGCAUGUUGUGGAUUUAUGAUUUUACUCCAGAGCGAGAACACACUGGAUGUAAAAAAUAAAUGGUUUUCUCAUGUUAUCUAAAAAUCAAAAAGUUUAGAUAUGCUCCUUUUGCAUUUUUUAGUAGGAGCCAUCACUGAAUAUGGUUUCUUAAAAGAAACGAAAAUCCACUUUCUGAUAGAAUAAUUGAUAUUGCACAUAAUUUUUCAUGUGUUGCAGCCUGCUGUUUGUCAGUUUUAAGAAUUCCUUUUAACAUUCAUGCUUCAUGAACCUCCUUUUCUCUUGUCCUUUGGCCCAUUCCAGGGACGCAGCUGUAACCUUAAUUUGUCUGUGACGAAGGUCUUUAUGAUAUAAGUUUUUCAAAAAUGAGUUUUCUUCUAAUGAUAUUAGUAUUUUGCAGACAACGUGUACAUGGCAGCCUCCUUAUGAAAAUGAAAUAAAUACCAUUUUCGAGAAGAAAGUAUCUUUGCGGAUUAAAGAACGCUUGUAUAAUGCCCGAAACCUCAAAAGGGUGGUUCGUUGCACACCGGAGGUUCCAUGAGUUUUGCGGGCCACCGAUGAAGAUUGCGAAAGUUAAACGGGGGAGAGGAUGUGCCUCUUUUUGAGGUCUUCGAGGAGACACAUUAGAAGGAGGACGGUACAAGAGAAGGUUUGGUCGAGCCACGUGCUAAGGAGACAUAUGAAGGAUUUCAAAAAGGUUUGGAAGAUUGGCGUCAGACCCAGCCUGCUUCAGAGGAUGGUACCGCAGUCCAACCAUCGCCUGCGGAUAUGA
Molecule: long non-coding RNA, 808 nt
Organism: Lycium ferocissimum
Lineage: Eukaryota; Viridiplantae; Streptophyta; Magnoliopsida; Solanales; Solanaceae
Exons: 3
Source: RefSeq, a predicted model, not a curated record